Small nucleolar RNA from Scleropages formosus (Asian bonytongue), 132 nucleotides. Ensembl annotates it as small nucleolar RNA SNORA31. NCBI's taxonomy places the organism in Eukaryota, Metazoa, Chordata, Actinopteri, Osteoglossiformes, Osteoglossidae. The record is from Ensembl.
CUGCAUCCAUUGACAGCCUGAAGCUAUAUGUCUGGCUAUUCGGGUCUUAUUGAUAAGGAUGCUAAAGCAACAUCCCAGCGCUUUCUGUCUGCUCUGCCCAUAGCGAUACAGAUUGAAAAUGGGAUAACAUGC